Molecule: non-coding RNA, 300 nt
Organism: Prunus mume (Japanese apricot)
Lineage: Eukaryota; Viridiplantae; Streptophyta; Magnoliopsida; Rosales; Rosaceae
Source: RefSeq, a predicted model, not a curated record
AGCAAUGGAAGGUAGCAGCUCAAACAACGUCGAAAAUAUCUUCCUUCCCGCCCACGAUCCAAAUGAGUUACGAAACCGGCAGAACGAACUUGAGAAGAAAGAAGCACGGAUUCAAGAGCUGAAGAAACAAAUUGAAUUAACCAAGCUUCAUUUGGAGGAGAUGAAGAAGAAGUCAGGUGCAAAGGAGAAAAUGGAAGCUUUCAAUCACCUGGUUGAGGCAUAUAACCGCAUGAGAGAGGAGUACAAUGCAUUGUUGGCUGAGAGAUCGAGGGACUCCAACCAGUGAACAAGGAUUGAUUC